GCGGGUGUAGCUCAGUUGGUUAGAGCGCCAGUUUGUGGUACUGGAUGCCGUGGGUUCAAAUCCCAUCACUCGCCCCA
This 77-nucleotide transfer RNA is filed under the name Holosporaceae bacterium. RNAcentral's name for it is "tRNA-His". It matches the Rfam family "tRNA". From Rfam's summary of the family: Transfer RNA (tRNA) molecules are approximately 80 nucleotides in length. Lineage: Bacteria; Pseudomonadati; Pseudomonadota; Alphaproteobacteria; Holosporales; Holosporaceae. The record is from RNAcentral.